GGCCCGUUAGCUCAGUUGGUUAGAGCGUCGUGCUAAUAACGCGCAAAGGUCGCGGGUUCGAUCCCCUCACGGGCCA
RNAcentral lists this transfer RNA (76 nucleotides) under Trichonephila inaurata madagascariensis. It matches the Rfam family "tRNA". From Rfam's summary of the family: Transfer RNA (tRNA) molecules are approximately 80 nucleotides in length. Their secondary structure includes four short double-helical elements and three loops (D, anti-codon, and T loops). Further hydrogen bonds mediate the characteristic L-shaped molecular structure. tRNAs have two regions of fundamental functional importance: the anti-codon, which is responsible for specific mRNA codon recognition, and the 3' end, to which the tRNAs corresponding amino acid is attached (by aminoacyl-tRNA synthetases). tRNAs cope with the degeneracy of the genetic code in two manners: having more than one tRNA (with a specific anti-codon) for a particular amino acid; and 'wobble' base-pairing, i.e. permitting non-standard base-pairing at the 3rd anti-codon position. The record is from Rfam by way of RNAcentral. Lineage: Eukaryota; Metazoa; Arthropoda; Arachnida; Araneae; Nephilidae.